This 425-nucleotide ribosomal RNA is filed under the name uncultured prokaryote. Its description in RNAcentral is "bacterial SSU rRNA". It matches the Rfam family "Bacterial small subunit ribosomal RNA", at positions 355 to 796 of the family's 1533-position model. The record is from RNAcentral.
UCGAGAAUCUUCCGCAAUGGGCGAAAGCCUGACGGAGCAAUGCCGCGUGGUGGAUGAAGGCCUUCGGGUUGUAAACACCUGUCAGUAGGGAGGAAAUUUUGACCGAUCUACAGAGGAAGUCCGGGCUAAGUACGUGCCAGCAGCCGCGGUAAUACGUACCGGACGAACGUUAUUCGGAAUCACUGGGCUUAAAGAGUACGUAGGCUGUUUUGUAGGUGAGAUGUGAAAUCCCACGGCUCAACCGUGGAACUGCGUUUCAAACCACAAAACUUGAGGGAGACAGGGGUGAGCGGAACUGAUGGUGGAGCGGUGAAAUGCGUUGAUAUCAUCAGGAACACCGGUGGCGAAGGCGGCUCACUGGGUCUUUUCUGACGCUGAGGUACGAAAGCUAGGGUAGCGAACGGGAUUAGAUACCCCCGUAGUCC